RNAcentral lists this ribosomal RNA (413 nucleotides) under uncultured bacterium. RNAcentral describes it as "bacterial SSU rRNA". It matches the Rfam family "Bacterial small subunit ribosomal RNA", at positions 917 to 1333 of the family's 1533-position model. The record is from RNAcentral.
GGGCCCGCACAAGCGGUGGAGCAUGUGGUUUAAUUCGAUGAUACGCGAGGAACCUUACCAGGGCUUAAAUGUAGUGGGACAGGUCUAGAGAUAGACCCUUCUUCGGACUCAUUACAAGGUGCUGCAUGGUUGUCGUCAGCUCGUGCCGUGAGGUGUCAGGUUAAGUCCUAUAACGAGCGCAACCCCUAUCGUUAGUUGCCAGCGAGUAAUGUCGGGAACUCUAACGAAACUGCCAGUGCAAACUGUGAGGAAGGUGGGGAUGACGUCAAAUCAUCACGGCCCUUACGUCCUGGGCUACACACGUGCUACAAUGGCCGGUACAGAGAGCAGCCACUACGCGAGUAGGAGCGAAUCUAUAAAACCGGUCUCAGUUCGGAUUGGAGUCUGCAACUCGACUCCAUGAAGUCGGAAUC